RNAcentral lists this unclassified non-coding RNA (329 nucleotides) under soil metagenome. RNAcentral describes it as "partial contains 5.8S ribosomal RNA, internal transcribed spacer 2, and large subunit ribosomal RNA". The stretch from base 1 to 120 matches the Rfam family "5.8S ribosomal RNA", at positions 35 to 154 of the family's 154-position model. The record is from RNAcentral.
GAUGAAGAACGCAGCGAAAUGCGAUAAGUAAUGUGAAUUGCAGAAUUUAGUGAAUCAUCGAAUCUUUGAACGCACAUUGCGCCCCCUGGUAUUCCGGGGGGCAUGCCUGUCCGAGCGUCAUUACAACCCUCAAGCUCAGCUUGGUGUUGGGCCCCGCCGCCCCGGCGGGCCCUAAAGUCAGUGGCGGUGCCGUCCGGCUCCGAGCGUAGUAAUUCUUCUCGCUCUGGAGGUCCGGUCGUGUGCUCGCCAGCAACCCCCAAUUUUUUUCAGGUUGACCUCGGAUCAGGUAGGGAUACCCGCUGAACUUAAGCAUAUCAAUAAGCGGAGGA